Small nucleolar RNA from Echinops telfairi (small Madagascar hedgehog), 131 nucleotides. Lineage: Eukaryota; Metazoa; Chordata; Mammalia; Afrosoricida; Tenrecidae. The record is from RefSeq and is a predicted model, not a curated record.
CUGCUGCCUUUGAACCCACCACACUUGCCUGUUAUGCCUGGGGUCAAACUGCAGCAUCAGAACAAGCACUUGUGCCUAACUGGGGCCAUCACACCUCUGCUGCGGGCCCUUUGAACCAGGCUGCCAUAAAC